This is a long non-coding RNA of Astatotilapia calliptera (eastern happy), 593 nucleotides long. The record is from Ensembl. Lineage: Eukaryota; Metazoa; Chordata; Actinopteri; Cichliformes; Cichlidae.
UUCCUACAUGCUGGCAGAGCAGAGCAGCAGUUUGUGCUCACAGAUGGUGACGGUGUGGAGAGACGGUGGUGUUUCCUCAGAAGAACCAGCAGAGUCACAAAGGACACCAGUCCAUCUCACCACCUUGACUUGCUGACUGAUGCUCGUCUGCACUGCACAGAGGAAAUCAACUGACCGAGAUGGGCAGCAUAUCAGUCUUGGACUGUCUAACCUGCAGCACUGAAUGACCACCACACAUGAGCAUGUUCCUGCAACAUUCAGCAUCUGAUCUGUCAUCUGUGUGCUUCUGCUUUUGUGUCACAUGUCAAACAGCUGGAGAGGAAACUACACCAGUGUACUGAGAUGUUUCACCAACACGUGGCAGAUGCUGUUCCUUCAUGGUGACAUCACCAGAGACAGCCCCGCCCACCUCAGGACCUCGCCAUUGAUCAUAAUGAUUAUAAUAAUGACAGCGAGCGGAACUAAGACUGUAAAAAUCCACGACAGGAAUUUUUCUUUCUAAUUAUUAAUGAAUAGUGAGAGCCUCUUUCUGUGUUUUGUCUGUUUUGGGGUUGUUGUUUUUUUUUUACCUCAUUUGUUACUAACAAAGUUCA